AUUGAACGCUGGCGGAAUGCUUUACACAUGCAAGUCGAACGGCAGCACAGUAAAGACUUCGGUCUUUAUGGGUGGCGAGUGGCGGACGGGUGAGUAACGCGUAGGAAUCUGUCCUGGAGAGUGGGAUAACCCGAGGAAACUCGGGCUAGUACCGCAUGAUAUCGAGAGAUCAAAAGCAGGGGACCCUUCGGGGCCUUGCGCUCUAGGUUGAGCCUACGUCGGAUUAGCUAGUUGGUGGGGUAAAGGCCUACCAAGGCGACGAUCCGUAGCUGGUCUGAGAGGAUGACCAGCCGCACUGGGACUGAGACACGGCCCAGACUCCUACGGGAGGCAGCAGUGGGGAAUCUUGGACAAUGGGGGAAACCCUGAUCCAGCGAUGCCGCGUGUGUGAAGAAGGCCUUCGGGUUGUAAAGCACUUUAGGUGGGGAAGAAAGGUAAUGAGUGAAUAACUGAUUGCUUUGACGGCACCCGCAGAAUAAGCACCGGCUAACUCUGUGCCAGCAGCCGCAGUAA
RNAcentral lists this ribosomal RNA (513 nucleotides) under uncultured bacterium. RNAcentral's name for it is "partial 16S ribosomal RNA". It matches the Rfam family "Bacterial small subunit ribosomal RNA", at positions 30 to 523 of the family's 1533-position model. The record is from RNAcentral.